This 267-nucleotide ribosomal RNA is filed under the name uncultured archaeon. RNAcentral describes it as "partial 16S ribosomal RNA". It matches the Rfam family "Archaeal small subunit ribosomal RNA", at positions 748 to 1013 of the family's 1478-position model. The record is from RNAcentral.
AGGGUGUAAACGCUGCGGGCUUGGUGUUGGGGUCCGUUUGUAGGGCGGCCCACGUGCCGGGAGGAGAAGUUGUUAAGCCUGCUGCUUGGGGAGGUACGUCCGCAAGGAUGAAACUUAAAGGAAUUGGCGGGGGAGGCACCGCAACGGGAGGAGCGUGCGGUUCAAUUGGAUUCAACGCCGGACAACUCACCAGGAGCGACGGUUACAUGAAGGCCAGGCUGAUGACCUUGCCUGAUUUUCCGAGAGGAGGUGCAUGGCGUAGUCGUG